GGUUAAGUGACUAAGCGUACACGGUGGAUGCCCUGGCAGUCAGAGGCGAUGAAGGACGUGCUAAUCUGCGAAAAGCGUCGGUAAGGUGAUAUGAACCGUUAUAGCCGGCGAUGUCCGAAUGGGGAAACCCAGUGCAAUUCGUUGCACUAUCGUUAACUGAAUACAUAGGUUAACGAGGCGAACCGGGGGAACUGAAACAUCUAAGUACCCCGAGGAAAAGAAAUCAACCGAGAUUCCCCCAGUAGCGGCGAGCGAACGGGGAGCAGCCCGGAGUCUGAAUCAGCUUGUGUGUUAGUGGAAGCGUCUGGAAAGUCGCAGGGUACAGGGUGAUACUCCCGUACACUAAAACACACAGGUUGUGAACUCGAAGAGUAGGGCGGGACACGUGGUAUCCUGUCUGAAUAUGGGGGGACCAUCCUCCAAGGCUAAAUACUCCUGACUGACCGAUAGUGAACCAGUACCGUGAGGGAAAGGCGAAAAGAACCCCGGCGAGGGGAGUGAAAAAGAACCUGAAACCGUGUACGUACAAGCAGUAGGAGCCCACUUGUUGGGUGACUGCGUACCUUUUGUAUAAUGGGUCAGCGACUUAUAUUCUGUAGCAAGGUUAACCGUAUAGGGGAGCCGCAGGGAAACCGAGUCUUAACUGGGCGUUAAGUUGCAGGGUAUAGACCCGAAACCCGGUGAUCUAGCCAUGGGCAGGUUGAAGGUUGGGUAACACUAACUGGAGGACCGAACCGACUAAUGUUGAAAAAUUAGCGGAUGACUUGUGGCUGGGGGUGAAAGGCCAAUCAAACCGGGAGAUAGCUGGUUCUCCCCGAAAGCUAUUUAGGUAGCGCCUCGUGAACUCAUCUUCGGGGGUAGAGCACUGUUUCGGCUAGGGGGUCAUCCCGACUUACCAACCCGAUGCAAACUACGAAUACCGAAGAAUGUUAUCACGGGAGACACACGGCGGGUGCUAACGUCCGUCGUGAAGAGGGAAACAACCCAGACCGCCAGCUAAGGUCCCAAAGUCAUGGUUAAGUGGGAAACGAUGUGGGAAGGCCCAGACAGCCAGGAUGUUGGCUUAGAAGCAGCCAUCAUUUAAAGAAAGCGUAAUAGCUCACUGGUCGAGUCGGCCUGCGCGGAAGAUGUAACGGGGCUAAACCAUGCACCGAAGCUGCGGCAGCGACACUAUGUGUUGUUGGGUAGGGGAGCGUUCUGUAAGCCGUUGAAGGUGGCCUGUGAGGGUUGCUGGAGGUAUCAGAAGUGCGAAUGCUGACAUAAGUAACGAUAAUGCGGGUGAAAAACCCGCACGCCGGAAGACCAAGGGUUCCUGUCCAACGUUAAUCGGGGCAGGGUGAGUCGACCCCUAAGGCGAGGCCGAAAGGCGUAGUCGAUGGGAAACAGGUUAAUAUUCCUGUACUCGGUGUUACUGCGAAGGGGGGACGGAGAAGGCUAUGUUGGCCGGGCGACGGUUGUCCCGGUUUAAGCAUGUAGGCGGAUGUUCCAGGUAAAUCCGGAACGUUACUAACGCUGAGGUGUGAUGACGAGGCACUACGGUGCUGAAGUGACAAAUGCCCUGCUUCCAGGAAAAGCCUCUAAGCAUCAGGUAACAUCAAAUCGUACCCCAAACCGACACAGGUGGUCAGGUAGAGAAUACCAAGGCGCUUGAGAGAACUCGGGUGAAGGAACUAGGCAAAAUGGUGCCGUAACUUCGGGAGAAGGCACGCUGAUGGUAGGUGAAGUGACUUGCUCAUGGAGCUGAAAUCAGUCGAAGAUACCAGCUGGCUGCAACUGUUUAUUAAAAACACAGCACUGUGCAAACACGAAAGUGGACGUAUACGGUGUGACGCCUGCCCGGUGCCGGAAGGUUAAUUGAUGGGGUUAUCCGUAAGGAGAAGCUCUUGAUCGAAGCCCCGGUAAACGGCGGCCGUAACUAUAACGGUCCUAAGGUAGCGAAAUUCCUUGUCGGGUAAGUUCCGACCUGCACGAAUGGCGUAAUGAUGGCCAGGCUGUCUCCACCCGAGACUCAGUGAAAUUGAACUCGCUGUGAAGAUGCAGUGUACCCGCGGCAAGACGGAAAGACCCCGUGAACCUUUACUAUAGCUUGACACUGAACACUGGUCCUUGAUGUGUAGGAUAGGUGGGAGGCUUUGAAGUGUGGACGCCAGUCUGCAUGGAGCCAUCCUUGAAAUACCACCCUUUAAUGGCUGGUGUUCUAACGUGGGCCCCUGAUCGGGGUUGCGGACAGUGUCUGGUGGGUAGUUUGACUGGGGCGGUCUCCUCCUAAAGAGUAACGGAGGAGCACGAAGGUCAGCUAAUCCUGGUCGGACAUCAGGAGGUUAGUGCAAUGGCAUAAGCUGGCUUGACUGCGAGCGUGACGGCGCGAGCAGGUGCGAAAGCAGGUCAUAGUGAUCCGGUGGUUCUGAAUGGAAGGGCCAUCGCUCAACGGAUAAAAGGUACUCCGGGGAUAACAGGCUGAUACCGCCCAAGAGUUCAUAUCGACGGCGGUGUUUGGCACCUCGAUGUCGGCUCAUCACAUCCUGGGGCUGAAGUAGGUCCCAAGGGUAUGGCUGUUCGCCAUUUAAAGUGGUACGCGAGCUGGGUUUAGAACGUCGUGAGACAGUUCGGUCCCUAUCUGCCGUGGGCGCUGGAGAAUUGAGGGGGGCUGCUCCUAGUACGAGAGGACCGGAGUGGACGCAUCACUGGUGUUCGGGUUGUCAUGCCAAUGGCAUUGCCCGGUAGCUAAAUGCGGAAGAGAUAAGUGCUGAAAGCAUCUAAGCACGAAACUUGCCCCGAGAUGAGUUCUCCCUGACCCUUUAAGGGUCCUGAAGGAACGUUGAAGACGACGACGUUGAUAGGCCGGGUGUGUAAGCGCAGCGAUGCGUUGAGCUAACCGGUACUAAUGAACCGUGAGGCUUAACCUU
Molecule: ribosomal RNA, 2906 nt
Filed under: Klebsiella michiganensis
Lineage: Bacteria; Pseudomonadati; Pseudomonadota; Gammaproteobacteria; Enterobacterales; Enterobacteriaceae
Description: 23S ribosomal RNA
Rfam family: Bacterial large subunit ribosomal RNA
Source: RNAcentral